CGCUGGCGGCAGGCCUAACACAUGCAAGUCGAGCGGUAGCACAGAGAGCUUGCUCUCGGGUGACGAGCGGCGGACGGGUGAGUAAUGUCUGGGAAACUGCCUGAUGGAGGGGGAUAACUACUGGAAACGGUAGCUAAUACCGCAUAACGUCGCAAGACCAAAGUGGGGGACCUUCGGGCCUCAUGCCAUCAGAUGUGCCCAGAUGGGAUUAGCUGGUAGGUGGGGUAACGGCUCACCUAGGCGACGAUCCCUAGCUGGUCUGAGAGGAUGACCAGCCACACUGGAACUGAGACACGGUCCAGACUCCUACGGGAGGCAGCAGUGGGGAAUAUUGCACAAUGGGCGCAAGCCUGAUGCAGCCAUGCCGCGUGUGUGAAGAAGGCCUUCGGGUUGUAAAGCACUUUCAGCGGGGAGGAAGGCG
RNAcentral lists this ribosomal RNA (421 nucleotides) under Klebsiella pneumoniae. Its description in RNAcentral is "bacterial SSU rRNA". It matches the Rfam family "Bacterial small subunit ribosomal RNA", at positions 34 to 453 of the family's 1533-position model. Lineage: Bacteria; Pseudomonadati; Pseudomonadota; Gammaproteobacteria; Enterobacterales; Enterobacteriaceae. The record is from RNAcentral.